Molecule: ribosomal RNA, 433 nt
Filed under: uncultured bacterium
Lineage: Bacteria
Description: partial 16S ribosomal RNA
Rfam family: Bacterial small subunit ribosomal RNA
Source: RNAcentral
AACGAACGCUGGCGGCAUGCCUAACACAUGCAAGUCGAACGAGACCUUCGGGUCUAGUGGCGCACGGGUGCGUAACGCGUGGGAACCUGCCCUUAGGUUCGGAAUAACUCCCCGAAAGGGGUGCUAAUACCGGAUAAUGUCUUCGGACCAAAGAUUUAUCGCCUUUGGAUGGGCCCGAGUUGGAUUAGCUAGUUGGUAGGGUAAAAGCCUACCAAGGCGACGAUCCAUAGCUGGUCUGAGAGGAUGAUCAGCCACACUGGGACUGAGACACGGCCCAGACUCCUACGGGAGGCAGCAGUGGGGAAUAUUGGAAAAUGGGCGAAAGCCUGAUCCAGCAAUGCCGCGCGAGUGAUGAAGGCCUUAGGGUUGUAAAGCUCUUUUACCCGGGAUGAUAAUGACAGUACCGGGAGAAUAAGCUCCGGCUAACUCCGUG